UACGUAGGGUGCGAGCGUUAAUCGGAAUUACUGGGCGUAAAGCGUGCGCAGGCGGUUCGUUGUGUCGGCGGUGAAAGCCCCGGGCUUAACCUGGGAAUGGCCGUCGAAACUGGCGAACUGGAGUGUGGCAGAGGGGGGUGGAAUUCCGCGUGUAGCAGUGAAAUGCGUAGAGAUGCGGCGGAACACCGAUGGCGAAGGCAGCCCCCUGGGCUGAGAUUGACGCUCAGGCACGAAAGCGUGGGGAGCAAACAGG
RNAcentral lists this ribosomal RNA (253 nucleotides) under uncultured bacterium. RNAcentral describes it as "partial 16S ribosomal RNA". It matches the Rfam family "Bacterial small subunit ribosomal RNA", at positions 524 to 776 of the family's 1533-position model. The record is from RNAcentral.